UACGUAGGGGGCGAGCGUUGUCCGGAGUUACUGGGCGUAAAGCGCACGCAGGCGGUUCGCCAAGUUUGGAGUGACAGUUGUCGGCUCAACCGACAAAGGACUUCAAAAACUGGUGAACUUGAGGACGAGAGAGGAGCAUGGAACUCCAGGUGUAGUAGUGAAAUGCGUAGAUAUCUGGAAGAACACCAAUGGCGAAGGCAAUGUUCUGGCUCGUUUCUGACGCUCAGGUGCGAAAGCCAGGGGAGCGAACGGG
RNAcentral lists this ribosomal RNA (253 nucleotides) under uncultured bacterium. RNAcentral's name for it is "partial 16S ribosomal RNA". It matches the Rfam family "Bacterial small subunit ribosomal RNA", at positions 524 to 776 of the family's 1533-position model. The record is from RNAcentral.